RNAcentral lists this long non-coding RNA (1270 nucleotides) under Triticum aestivum (bread wheat). RNAcentral's name for it is "long non-coding RNA (TAES_LNC021783)". Lineage: Eukaryota; Viridiplantae; Streptophyta; Magnoliopsida; Poales; Poaceae. The record is from RNAcentral.
UCCUUUUCUAAGCUGUAAUUGGUGUUUCCGUGAAGGCAGGGGCACAAGGAUUGGACCCAUUGGUCUACCGGAAUAAUGGAAAUUAUUGUUGGAGUAACUGUCAACACGGCACAUGGCUACGGUUAGUGGAACAUGGUAGACCACUCAAUUCCCCUUGUCCACGCCUGAAUUCCUGAAGAACGGAUUUAAUUUCUAGUAAUAAUUUAUGGUUAGUCAGAUUUCACCUUUUUUUAGGGAAACUCGGAUUUCAUCUUUGUUUGAGGCAAACUCGGAUUCAUUUUUGUAGGGAAAUUUGGAUUUUGUAUGGAGAUGUAUAGUCUAUGAGGCUGGGAUUGAAUCGGUCAAUUGCUGUUACAAGCUUGUGAAGAUGUAUGGUUCAUCCUCUGAUCCUCUCUUGUGCUGACUGUUACACUUAAAGCAAGACAAAGCAGCAAAAAGGUAUUCCUGAUUGCUAUUUCCAUCCUCUACCCCUGCUGGCCUGUCAAGUCUUGGUUCAGAAAAAUAGCUAUGGCCUAUCAAACUUCAACCUGGCUAUGGGCAUGAAAAUCUUCCUGUGAGCAAGAAAUUUGUUCAGAUUUACAGAAACUGCUAGUUGCUACUGUUCUGAGUUUUCUAGAAUAUCUGUUUCACCUUUACCGAAUUACCAUUAUCGUGCAAUUUAAUUAAAUGAAAAGUGCCAAUCUGGUUCCAGAAAUAUUGUAUUUGUUUAGAGGAAUUAAGAAAACACUGAAAUUUAUUUGUCCCUUGAUACAGACGAACUCUGGAUCCUGGAGAAAAUUUCACACAAUUAUGGCUCUCAUUUCAUGCAUCCGAAAAUCAUGAUGUUUUAUUGAUUUCGCUUCUCACUGCAUCCAAGAGCUUCCGUUGACUUGACUUGACUUGGCAUGGCACAGCUGGGCACCUGUCAAGCACUUUAUGAGGAACAAGAACAGAAGGCUGAUGUCUGACUGUUCUUCUGUAUACCACUAGAAAAUUUGACCAGUGGGAUCACCGCCAGAGGCGCGUCGAGUCCUUUUCUAUGACUGGGAGGAUGGCUGUGGCUGUGGCUGUGACGUGUUUACACUGCAUUGGCGCUUCCGUGAAGGCAGGGGCACAAUGACUCGACCCCAUUGGUCUACCGGAAUAAUGGGGCAGUAACUGUCAACACGGCUACGGUUAGUAGGGCACUGUAGAGUGUAGACCACUCAAAUCCGGUGCUCCACGUUUGAGUUUUUGAAAAAUGGAUAUAAACUGAACCGUAAAAGAUGUCUUAUCUUUAGUUAAGGAGGUA